UACGUAGGGCGCAAGCGUUAUCCGGAAUUAUUGGGCGUAAAGAGCUCGUAGGCGGUUUGUCGCGUCUGCCGUGAAAGUCCGGGGCUCAACUCCGGAUCUGCGGUGGGUACGGGCAGACUAGAGUGAUGUAGGGGAGACUGGAAUUCCUGGUGUAGCGGUGAAAUGCGCAGAUAUCGGGAGGAACACCAAUUGCGAAGGCAGCUCGCUGGGACGGUACUGACGCUGAGGCGCGAAAGCGUGGGGAGCAAACAGG
This 253-nucleotide ribosomal RNA is filed under the name uncultured bacterium. Its description in RNAcentral is "partial 16S ribosomal RNA". It matches the Rfam family "Bacterial small subunit ribosomal RNA", at positions 524 to 776 of the family's 1533-position model. The record is from RNAcentral.